AGAUAUGAGGAUGCAGGACAGUACUACUGUGAGGCCAGGAAUGCAUAUGGAGCUGAGAACUCAUCUGCUUUGUCCAUCACAGCUGAAGCUGGACAGAGCCAUGUAAUGGGUGCCAUUGUGGUUAUUGCAGUUUGUGGAGUGCUAUGUCUACUGGGUAUGAUUCUCUUUGUCAGUUGCUUUGUUAAACGCAGGAAAGAAGGGAGGAUGCAAUCAGGACAAGAUCAGAGAGGAAGUGGUCAAACUAAUGUGAUCAACUUGAACUCAAUUCACCCUGACCCAGUCUACCAGAACCUGAACCCCAACACCACCC
Long non-coding RNA from Engraulis encrasicolus (European anchovy), 310 nucleotides. RefSeq lists it as uncharacterized. The record is from RefSeq and is a predicted model, not a curated record. The transcript has 4 exons. NCBI's taxonomy places the organism in Eukaryota, Metazoa, Chordata, Actinopteri, Clupeiformes, Engraulidae.